AUACCGGGCCUUUUUGGGCUUGGUAAUUGGAAUGAGGGAGAGUUAAACGGACCAUCGAGUAUCCAUUGGAGGGCAAGUCUGGUGCCAGCAGCUGCGGUAAUACCAGCUCCAAUAGCGUAUAUUAAAGUUGUUGCAGUUAAAAAGCUCGUAGUUGGACUUGUGUGCGCUGUCCGCGGGUGGCCUGCGCCCAAAAGGGCGUUUCGGUUCGGCCCCGGUGGCGCCUUGAAAUCUGCAGCUAGGGGGACGUUGGCCUUAACUGGUCGGCGACCGCACGCCGGCUGCUCGGUUACUGUGAGAAAAUUAGAGUGUUCAAGGCAGGCAUUGGGUGCAAUUGAAUACAUUAGCAUGGAAUAAUAAAAUAUGGCUCCUGCCGUAUUUUGUUGGUUUUGACUGGUGGGAGUAAUGAUUGAUAGGGACGGUUGGGGGUGCUAGUAUUGAGCGGCCAGAGGUGAAAUUCAUGGAUUCGCUCAAGACUAACUUAUGCGAAAGCAUUCACCAAGGACGUCCUCUUUAAUCAAGAACGAAAGUUGGGGGAUCGAAGACGAUCAGAUACCGUCGUAGUCUCAACCAUAAACUAUGUCGACUUGGGAUCGGCGGUAGUUUUUUCAUUAAGACACUGUCGGGACCACGGGAGAAAUCAAAGUGUCUGGACUCUGGGGGAAGUAUGGUCGCAAGGCUGAAACUUGAAGGAAUUGACGGAAGGGCACCACCAGGAGUGGAGCCUGCGGCUUAAUUGACCCAACACGGGGAAACUUACCAGGUCCAGAGAUGUAGAGGAUUGACAGAUUGAAGCUCUUUCUUGAUCACUUCGGUGGUGGUGCAUGGCCGUUCUUAGUUGGUGGAGUGAUUUGUCUGGUUAAUUCCGUUAACGAACGAGACCUCAGCCUGCUAGUGUAGUCGGCUGGAUUGCCUUUGGCGAUCCGUGAUUUCGACUUCUUAGAGGGACAAUCGACGCGCAGUCGAUGGAAGUUUGAGGCAAUAACAGGUCUGUGAUGCCCUUAGAUGUUCUGGGCCGCACGCGCGCUACACUGCUGGGCUCAGCGAGUUUUACUUGGCCGAGAGGCCCGGUUAAUCUUGUGAAAUCCCAGCGUGCUUGGGCUCGCCUCCUGCAACUGGAGGCGCCAACGAGGAAUUCCUAGUAGACGCAGGUCAUCAACCUGCAUCGAUUACGUCCCUGCCCUUUGUACACACCGCCCGUCGUUCCAUAAGAGUGAGGCAUCCGGUGAAUUCUCGGGAGAGCCUGGGCGUGGCCAGCAAUGGUCUGCUCGGGUUUGAACUUGCAUAAACUUGGUGCCUAUGAUUAGGG
RNAcentral lists this ribosomal RNA (1306 nucleotides) under metagenome. RNAcentral describes it as "SSU rRNA". It matches the Rfam family "Eukaryotic small subunit ribosomal RNA", at positions 483 to 1783 of the family's 1831-position model. The record is from RNAcentral.